GUGAAGGACGGUUGGAAUUUUACUCUGGGUUUCUUCAGAUAAGCAUAAGAGUCUUCAUCACAUAAGUAAAAACUUUAAAAAGAUUUUAUCACAAAUGUGAUUUACAACUGAAUGUAAAGCUAAAACAACACAUGCGUGAUCAAUAUGUUUCUAAAAUAAAUGAAAUGUUCGAGAUUAAAAGGAAAUGUGUGAGAUUUAAAGGCGAUGUGAGAUAAUAAAAGGAAAUGUCGAAGAUGGACAGGAGAGACUAUUGCUGAAACAACGACUGCGACACCCGACAUACCUUGUGGAAACCAUACUUGUUAUGGUCCUUACACCGCAAAGUGCAAUCUUACAGAUGAAGAACCUUGUGACUGCAAAGCUGGUUUCGCUGGUGAUAGAUGCGAAACUGACUUGGAUGAGUGCAAAAAAGGCCGCCCUUGUAGAAACAGAGGACCAUGCACCAACACAGUAGGAAGCUUCAGUUGUGUAUGUCUCCAAGGAUGGGUUGGUGACCACUGUGAAAAUGAAACG
Long non-coding RNA from Dreissena polymorpha, 513 nucleotides. RefSeq lists it as uncharacterized. Lineage: Eukaryota; Metazoa; Mollusca; Bivalvia; Myida; Dreissenidae. The record is from RefSeq and is a predicted model, not a curated record. The transcript is spliced from 4 exons.